RNAcentral lists this ribosomal RNA (1285 nucleotides) under metagenome. RNAcentral's name for it is "bacterial LSU rRNA". It matches the Rfam family "Bacterial large subunit ribosomal RNA", at positions 1627 to 2925 of the family's 2925-position model. The record is from RNAcentral.
CGAGUUUAAAGGCGCCCGUACCGUAAACCGACACAGGUGGGUGAGGAGAGUAUCCUAAGGCCAGCGAGAGAACUAUUGUUAAGGAACUCGGCAAAAUGACCCCGUAACUUAGGGAGAAGGGGUGCCUGUCUAUGACAGGCCGCAGAGAAUAGGCCCAAGCGACUGUUUACCAAAAACACAGGUUUCUGCUAAGUCGCAAGACGAUGUAUAGGAGCUGACGCCUGCCCGGUGCUGGAAGGUUAAGGGGAUCUGUUAGAGCAAUCGAAGCAGUGAACUUAAGCCCCAGUAAACGGCGGCCGUAACUAUAACGGUCCUAAGGUAGCGAAAUUCCUUGUCGGGUAAGUUCCGACCCGCACGAAAGGCGUAACGAUUUGGGCACUGUCUCAACAAUAGACUCGGUGAAAUUGUAAUCCCGGUGAAGAUGCCGGGUACCUGCGACAGGACGGAAAGACCCCAUGGAGCUUUACUGUAGCUUGACGUUGGGUCUUGGUACUACAUGUACAGGAUAGGUGGGAGACUAUAAAGCAUGGACGCCAGUCUGUGUGGAGUCAUCCUUGGGAUACCACCCUUGUAGUACUGGGAUCCUAACCAUAGGCCUUGAAUCAGGUCUUGGAACACCGUCAGGUGGGCAGUUUGACUGGGGCGGUCGCCUCCUAAAAAGUAACGGAGGCGCUCAAAGGUUUCCUCAGCACGGUCGGAAAUCGUGCGAAGAGUGUAAAGGCAAAAGGAAGCUUGAUUGCAAGACAUACAGGUCGAGCAAGGACGAAAGUCGGACUUAGUGAUCCGGUGGUACCGCAUGGAAGGGCCAUCGCUCAACGGAUAAAAGCUACCCUGGGGAUAACAGGCUUAUCUCCCCCAAGAGUCCACAUCGACGGGGAGGUUUGGCACCUCGAUGUCGGCUCAUCACAUCCUGGGGCUGUAGUAGGUCCCAAGGGUUGGGCUGUUCGCCCAUUAAAGUGGUACGCGAGCUGGGUUCAGAACGUCGUGAGACAGUUCGGUCCCUAUCCGUCGCAGGCGUAGGAAAUUUGAGAAGACCUGUCCUUAGUACGAGAGGACCGGGAUGGACGUACCUCUGGUGUACCAGUUGUUCUGCCAAGGGCAUGGCUGGGUAGCUAUGUACGGAAUGGAUAAGCGCUGAAAGCAUCUAAGCGCGAAGCCAACUUCAAGAUAAGAUUUCCCACCGUAAGGGUAAGACCCCAGGAAGGCUACCUGGUUGAUAGGUCGAAGGUGUAAGUGCAGUAAUGUAUUUAGCUUAUCGAUACUAAUAGGUCGAGGACUUGACUAA